CGCGUAGGCGGCCAGAUAUGUCAGGUGUGAAAGUCCACGGCUCAACCGUGGAAGUGCAUUUGAAACUGUCUGGCUUGAGUAUCGGAGGGGAGUGUGGAAUUCCCGGUGUAGAGGUGAAAUUCGUAGAGAUCGGGAGGAACACCGGUGGCGAAGGCGACACUCUGGACGAAUACUGACGCUGAGGCGCGAAAGCGUGGGGAGCAAACAGGAUUAGAUACCCUGGUAGUCC
This 229-nucleotide ribosomal RNA is filed under the name uncultured bacterium. Its description in RNAcentral is "partial 16S ribosomal RNA". It matches the Rfam family "Bacterial small subunit ribosomal RNA", at positions 568 to 796 of the family's 1533-position model. The record is from RNAcentral.